CGUCGCCUCCGGCCCCGCGUCCUCCUCCUCCUCUGCCGCCUCUCCGCCGCCGCCACUGCCUCCGCCUCCGCCUCCGCCCCCGCGUCCUCGUCCUCAUCCGCCGACUACUCCUUCGCCCCCCUUGAUGAGUCCUCGUCCGACGACGACGCCGAGCCCUCCCCCACCUUCUCCCUCUUCCUUGCCUUCGCGGAGCAGUUCGUCUCCUGCCCGCAUCCCAAAAUGCCCGCCGUCACGGACAUCGCUGUACUAACGGGGAAGAGAUUUAAGGACUUGGACAACGAGGAGAGCUACGAGCGGUUCCGGCAGCGCGAGCGGCGAGGGGUGGUAAUUGUAACUCGUAUCACAUCCAGUAGCAACUUAUCACUUUCAAGACUUAGAACUGCAUGUGAGAACUCAGGCCACUGAGUCAUUGUUCUAUAAAAAGGUUCACAGGGUGUGUAUUUUAGAAAUAAAGCUUCUUGAUUGUGUUGUCUAUGAUCAAGCAUCCCUCAAAAUAAUUGACCAUACCAGUUUGCAUGCUUGAGCUAUUUUUUUAGACUAUUAAAAGAACUUAGGUAUCCAUUAUUGUGAGAGACGCAUUAUGAGUGUUAUUCUAAAGUAAGAUCCAAAUUAUUGUUUGAUUACUUCAGGAACUUCAUCAAAAUGUUGAGAAAUUACCACAUGCAUAUAUCUCUUUAGCAUAGAUUUAUUUCUCUUGUGAGUUAUAAGUAAAGCAAUGGCAUCAACGUUUUGUUGGGCUAUGCUUAUAUGUUGUCUGUGCUUUCACUAAAGUUUUGAAGAUUGAAUUCACAUGAAUCUUCAGCAUUUUUGAAAAGAAGUAGACCUUACUUGUAUCCUUGAGAGCUUUCUCGAAAAUAAAAUGUUUUAUGAACAUGCCACUUAGUACUGCUAGGAAGCAUGUGAAGUGCACCCAGAAACUUCUUUACCUGUCUAAUCUGCGCCGAAGUAUCACUUUCGAACCUAUAAGUUUGCCCCUGGAUCUACAUUGUAACACUCGGUAAGAACCUAAUAAUAUGAUCUCUUGCAGUAUCCUUCAGAAAACUUUCAAAGUAGGUAAUAAUACUUUCAAAGUAGGUAGCAAAUACAGCCAUUGCAAUAUCCUAGAAUGGCUGUUUCAGGGGGUCCUUGACUUCCAGUGCUUUGUCACAACAGCUCACCAUUUCCUCCGGUUCUAUCUGAAGGCUGCAAAUGCAGAUGACAGAGUCGAGGACCUAGCGAAGUACCUGGCCAUGCUUUCACUUCUAGACCACAAACAAUUUGGUUAUGGAGGUAAACACUUCUAAACCGCAGUGGUAGCCCUUGCUUGCCUUGCCACAGAUAAUGAGUCAUGAUGCCAUUUGGUUAUGGAGAAAUGUGUAACCACCGCAUAAAUGCAGACUCACACGAGGAUGAAGAAUGAUGAUCUGCUUAAAUGCCUAAUGAGUCUCGAGUGGUUUAUCAAUUAUGCUUCCUGCUAACCAGGACAAAACCAGAUUAGUUUGACAGGCGUCGUGCGUACAGAUUCACUUACGAAUCGGAGGCGUGCAGAUUAGUUUGACAGCAGGGUAGAUAAGAAGGACAAGAAGCCGGCCAAAACGUGGUUGUGAUCGCGUCAGUCCAAUAGGGAGCAUUGCAACCUGUUGUUGUAAGCUGUAAAAUUUAAUGGGGUGGUUAUCAAUUGCAGUGCUACAAAAUCUUUAUUUCUGGACUAUGAUGGAUAUUCCAAUUUUUUAACUGAUUCAGAAUAUUAUUCCUUUUGUGUUGGAGUCGUGGAGUUAAAAAAUGAUGGAUUCAUUGAA
Molecule: long non-coding RNA, 1778 nt
Organism: Oryza brachyantha (malo sina)
Lineage: Eukaryota; Viridiplantae; Streptophyta; Magnoliopsida; Poales; Poaceae
Exons: 6
Source: RefSeq, a predicted model, not a curated record